Molecule: ribosomal RNA, 253 nt
Filed under: uncultured bacterium
Lineage: Bacteria
Description: partial 16S ribosomal RNA
Rfam family: Bacterial small subunit ribosomal RNA
Source: RNAcentral
UACGGGGGGGGCAAGCGUUGUUCGGAAUUACUGGGCGUAAAGGGCUCGUAGGCGGCCAACUAAGUCAGACGUGAAAUCCCUAGGCUCAACCUAGGAACUGCGUCUGAUACUGGAUGGCUUGAAUCCGGGAGAGGGAUGCAGAAUUCCUGGUGUAGCGGUGAAAUGCGCAGAUAUCAGGAGGAACACCGGUGGCGAAGGCGGGUCUCUGGGCCGUUACUGACGCUGAGGAGCGAAAGCGUGGGGAGCAAACAGG